RNAcentral lists this ribosomal RNA (427 nucleotides) under uncultured bacterium. RNAcentral describes it as "bacterial SSU rRNA". It matches the Rfam family "Bacterial small subunit ribosomal RNA", at positions 954 to 1378 of the family's 1533-position model. The record is from RNAcentral.
AUGGGAACGCGAAGAACCUUACCUACUCUUGACAUCCAGAGAACUUUCCAGAGAUGGAUUGGUGCCUUCGGGAACUCUGAGACAGGUGCUGCAUGGCUGUCGUCAGCUCGUGUUGUGAAAUGUUGGGUUAAGUCCCGCAACGAGCGCAACCCGUUAUCCUUUGUUGCCAGCGGUUAGGCCGGGAACUCAAAGGAGACUGCCAGUGAUAAACUGGAGGAAGGUGGGGAUGACGUCAAGUCAUCAUGGCCCUUACGAGUAGGGCUACACACGUGCUACAAUGGCGCAUACAAAGAGAAGCGACCUCGCGAGAGCAAGCGGACCUCAUAAAGUGCGUCGUAGUCCGGAUUGGAGUCUGCAACUCGACUCCAUGAAGUCGGAAUCGCUAGUAAUCGUAGAUCAGAAUGCUACGGUGAAUACGUUCCCGGGG